AAGAUGUCCUGCCAGCAGAACCAGCAGCAGUGCCAGCCCCCUCCCAAGUGCCCCCCCAAGUGCCCUGUCCCUAAGUGCCCCCCCAAGUGCCCCCCCAAGUGCCCUCCAGUCUCUUCCUGCUGCAGUGUGAGCUCUGGGGGCUGCUGUGGCUCCAGCUGUGGGGGAGGGGGCUGCUGCAGCUCUGGGCAUGGGGGCUGCUGCCUGAGCCACCACAGGCGCCGCAGGUCCCACCGCAGACACCAGAGCUCUGACUGCUGCAGCCAGCCCUCGGGGGCUCUGGGUGCUGCGGAGGGGGAAGCGGCCAGUCCUCUGGAGGCGACUGCUGCUGUUGAAGUGAACCCUGAACCAAGAAGAGCUGACCUGGGGGCAGCAAAUGGCCAGAAAUCUCCUCCUCCUGCUCCUCUUGGGCUUGCCUGAGGGUCUGAAAAUCCAGGGAAGGUUCUGCGCUCUGGGCUGGAGUGUCCCUCUGCCUGGAGAUUCAGAAGCCUGAAUCAGCUCUCAAGAAUCUAUGUGCUGACCUCUGACACCAACUGUGUCGUCUGCCUGGAAUACCCAAACCACAGACUCGAACUCCCUCCCCAGCUAAUCCCCUUGUAGACUGCAGCCUCGAAUGAAACAAUAAAACAAGAAAUCGGCUCA
Sus scrofa (pig) is the source of this 639-nucleotide long non-coding RNA. RefSeq lists it as uncharacterized. The record is from RefSeq and is a predicted model, not a curated record. NCBI's taxonomy places the organism in Eukaryota, Metazoa, Chordata, Mammalia, Artiodactyla, Suidae.